RNAcentral lists this ribosomal RNA (480 nucleotides) under uncultured bacterium. RNAcentral's name for it is "partial 16S ribosomal RNA". It matches the Rfam family "Bacterial small subunit ribosomal RNA", at positions 28 to 507 of the family's 1533-position model. The record is from RNAcentral.
GAUGAACGCUAGCGGCAGGCCUAACACAUGCAAGUCGAGGGGUAGAAGGAGCUUGCUCCUUUGAGACCGGCGCACGGGUGCGUAACGCGUAUGCAAUCUACCUUGUACAGGGGAAUAGCCCAGAGAAAUUUGGAUUAAUGCCCCAUAGUAUAUAACCUUCGCAUGUUGGUUAUAUUAAAGUUCCAACGGUACAAGAUGAGCAUGCGUCCCAUUAGUUAGUUGGUAAGGUAACGGCUUACCAAGACGAUGAUGGGUAGGGGUCCUGAGAGGGGGAUCCCCCACACUGGUACUGAGACACGGACCAGACUCCUACGGGAGGCAGCAGUGAGGAAUAUUGGUCAAUGGUAGCAAGACUGAACCAGCCAUGCCGCGUGCAGGAAGACGGUCCUAUGGAUUGUAAACUGCUUUUAUACAGGAAGAAACCCUCCCACGUGUGGGAGCUUGACGGUACUGGAGGAAUAAGGAUCGGCUAACUCCGUG